GGCGGCAGGCCUAACACAUGCAAGUCGAGCGCUCGUAGCAAUACGGGAGCGGCAGACGGGAGAGUAACACGUGGGAACGUACCCUUCGGUUCGGAAUAACCCAGGGAAACUUGGGCUAAUACCGGAUACGUCCGUAAGGAGAAAGAUUUAUCGCCGAGGGAUCGGCCCGCGCCCGAUUAGCUAGUUGGUGAGGUAAUGGCUCACCAAGGCGACGAUCGGUAGCUGGUCUGAGAGGAUGAUCAGCCUCACUGGGACUGAGACACGGCCCAGACUCCUACGGGAGGCAGCAGUGGGGAAUAUUGGACAAUGGGCGCAAGCCUGAUCCAGCCAUGCCGCGUGGGUGAUGACGGCCUUAGGGUUGUAAAGCCCUUUCGGCGGGGAAGAUAAUGACGGUACCCGCAGAAGAAGCCCCGGCUAACUUCGUGCCAGCAGCCGCGGUAAUACGAAGGGGGCUAGCGUUGCUCGGAAUCACUGGGCGUAAAGCGCACGUAGGCGGGUUCUUAAGUCAGAGGUGAAAUCCUGGAGCUCAACUCCAGAACUGCCUUUGAUACUGAGGAUCUCGAGUUCGGGAGAGGUGA
Molecule: ribosomal RNA, 578 nt
Filed under: uncultured bacterium
Lineage: Bacteria
Description: bacterial SSU rRNA
Rfam family: Bacterial small subunit ribosomal RNA
Source: RNAcentral